GAUGAACGCUGGCGGCGUGCCUAAUACAUGCAAGUCGAGCGAACAGACGAGGAGCUUGCUCCUCUGACGUUUGCGGCGGACGGGUGAGUAACACGUGGAUAACCUCCCUAUCAGACUGGUAUAACUUCGGGAAACCGGAGCAUAUACCGGAUAAUAUAUUGAACCGCAUGGUUCAAUAGUGAAAUACGGUUUUGCUGUCACUUAUCGAUGGUUCCCCGCCGCUUUAGCUAGUUGGGACGGUAACGGGUUUCGAAGGGAACGAGGCGUAGACGAACGCAGGGAGGGAUCGGCCGCACUGGAGCUGAGACACGGUCCAGGGUCCUAAGGGAGGCAGCAGUAGGGAAUGUUCCGCAAUGGGCGAGAGCCUGACAGAGCAACGCCGAGUGAGAGGUGAAGGUGUUCGGUGCGUAAAACUCUGUUAUUAGGGAAGAACAAAUGUGUAAGUAGAUAUGCACGUAUUGACGGUACCUAAUCAGAAAGCAACGGCUAACUACGUG
Molecule: ribosomal RNA, 497 nt
Filed under: uncultured bacterium
Lineage: Bacteria
Description: partial 16S ribosomal RNA
Rfam family: Bacterial small subunit ribosomal RNA
Source: RNAcentral